AUUGAAACAUGUCAUUGUAACUUAUGUUUCAUUUCAGGCUCUUUCAUCACACUUCUCCCUUGAAGAAGACUGGGUGGUUAUUGAAUGGGCACAGGCGAAAGCCACCACAGAUGAACACUUUGAGCACAAUGGAGUGGAUUAUUGGUAAUCUGUCCAAGUCUCACCCAAACCUGUGCAAAGUCGCUACAGUGGGACUGCUUCUACCAACCUCCACAGCUGAUUGUGAGAGAGGUUUCAGCAGUUGAAUGUGUAAAGACCACCCACUAUUCACCAGUGAGCAUGAAAGUGCUUAAUGAUUUACUCAUGGUGUCCAUGCAGGGACAAAAAAUGAAUGACUUAAUUUCAGUGAUGCAGUAAAGGAAUGGCACAGUGCCAAAGACAAACACUUAUAUGGAAAAAAAAUGCCUAUGUGUUGUUAGUGUUAGUACAAAAGAAGUGGAAGGACAUAUGUGUUGUUCAAAAAUACUUACAAAAGAAGUGGACAUCUGUGUAGUGUAUAUGAUAUAUUGAUGGUUAUAUGAUUAUGUGAUAAUGUAGAAGUAAUGAAAUA
This is a long non-coding RNA of Mercenaria mercenaria, 550 nucleotides long. RefSeq lists it as uncharacterized. The record is from RefSeq and is a predicted model, not a curated record. NCBI's taxonomy places the organism in Eukaryota, Metazoa, Mollusca, Bivalvia, Venerida, Veneridae. The transcript has 2 exons.